Molecule: ribosomal RNA, 491 nt
Filed under: uncultured bacterium
Lineage: Bacteria
Description: partial 16S ribosomal RNA
Rfam family: Bacterial small subunit ribosomal RNA
Source: RNAcentral
GAUGAACGCUGGCUACAGGCUUAGCACAUGCAAGUCGAGGGGAAACGACGGGGAAGCUUGCUUCCCCGGGCGUCGACCGGCGCACGGGUGAGUAACGCGUAUCCAACCUGCCUCUGACUGAGGGAUAACCCGUCGAAAGUCGGCCUAAUACCUCAUGGUAUCGUCUGCGGGCAUCCAACGACGAUUAAAGAUUUCAUCGGUCAGGGAUGGGGAUGCGUCUGAUUAGCUUGUUGGCGGGGUAACGGCCCACCAAGGCUACGAUCAGUAGGGGUUCUGAGAGGAAGGUCCCCCACAUUGGAACUGAGACACGGUCCAAACUCCUACGGGAGGCAGCAGUGAGGAAUAUUGGUCAAUGGGCGAGAGCCUGAACCAGCCAAGUAGCGUGCAGGAAGACGGCCCUAUGGGUUGUAAACUGCUUUUAUGCGGGGAUAAAGUGAGGGACGUGUCCCUCAUUGCAGGUACCGCAUGAAUAAGGACCGGCUAAUUCCGUG